RNAcentral lists this ribosomal RNA (468 nucleotides) under uncultured bacterium. RNAcentral's name for it is "partial 16S ribosomal RNA". It matches the Rfam family "Bacterial small subunit ribosomal RNA", at positions 28 to 507 of the family's 1533-position model. The record is from RNAcentral.
GACGAACGCUGGCGGCGUGCUUAACACAUGCAAGUCGAACGGAAAGGCCCUGCUUUUGUGGGGUGCUCGAGUGGCGAACGGGUGAGUAACACGUGAGUAACCUGCCCUUGACUUUGGGAUAACUUCAGGAAACUGGGGCUAAUACCGGAUAGGAGCUCCUGCUGCAUGGUGGGGGUUGGAAAGUUUCGGCAGUUGGGGAUGGACUCGCGGCUUAUCAGCUUGUUGGUGGGGUAGUGGCUUACCAAGGCUUUGACGGGUAGCCGGCCUGAGAGGGUGACCGGCCACAUUGGGACUGAGAUACGGCCCAGACUCCUACGGGAGGCAGCAGUGGGGAAUAUUGCACAAUGGGCGGAAGCCUGAUGCAGCAACGCCGCGUGCGGGAUGACGGCCUUCGGGUUGUAAACCGCAUUCGCCUGUGACGAAGCGUGAGUGACGGUAAUGGGUAAAGAAGCACCGGCUAACUACGUG